RNAcentral lists this transfer RNA (83 nucleotides) under Treponema sp. Its description in RNAcentral is "tRNA-Leu". It matches the Rfam family "tRNA". From Rfam's summary of the family: Transfer RNA (tRNA) molecules are approximately 80 nucleotides in length. The record is from RNAcentral. Lineage: Bacteria; Pseudomonadati; Spirochaetota; Spirochaetia; Treponematales; Treponemataceae.
GCCGGAAUGGUGGAAUGGUAGACACGAAAGACUCAAAAUCUUUUGAGGGCAACUUCGUGAGGGUUCAAGUCCCUCUUCCGGUA